Molecule: unclassified non-coding RNA, 454 nt
Filed under: Hevea brasiliensis (rubber tree)
Lineage: Eukaryota; Viridiplantae; Streptophyta; Magnoliopsida; Malpighiales; Euphorbiaceae
Source: RNAcentral
GGUCUUGUGGUCAAGGAUCAGGAAUUUAUCGAGGCAACCAAGGAGCCCAGCAUUACAUUCUUGGUAGCAAAGUUUGAUGGCAUACUUGGACUCGGAUUUCAAGAGAUAUCAGUUGGAAAGGCUGUACCUGUGUGGUACAACAUGGUCAAUCAGGGUCUUGUUAAAGAACCUGUUUUCUCAUUUUGGUUUAACCGCAAUGCUGAUGAAGAUGAAGGAGGUGAGAGGGUGAGAUUGUUUUUGGUGGGGUGGACCCCAAACAUUACAAGGGUGAGCAUACAUAUGUCCCUGUAACACAGAAAGGGUAUUGGCAGUUUGACAUGGGUGAUGUUUUGAUUGAUGGUAAAACAACUGGAAUUUGCGGCAGUGGCUGUGCUGCAAUUGCUGAUUCUGGAACAUCUUUGUUGGCUGGUCCCACGGGUAUCAUUGCUGAAGUGAACCAUGCCAUUGGAGCAAC